AAGACUGUUUGGCUGCACAUGGCUGAUCAAGUCCCUCUUCGUCUACUUCCUUCCCCUGGUUGUUUUCCCUGCCUUACUUUCUUCCAAUCCCUGUCUUCAGGAUCACUCCAAGCUGUGUUGCUUCAGAGAGAAGUUGCUAAGAAGGCUUCUGUUGCAAAUGGCACAAGCUGAAUGUUUCCCAGUGCCAGGCAAUCCCUCACCCAAGACAACUUGUACAGGCCCUUCACAUCCUCUUGGUGCUUUUUCAACACAGCAGCUGUACAGGCUGACUUCUGUCAAUCUGUGUUUUCCAAAGCACCAUCUAUUGAAAAGUCUCUUAUUUCUCCAUUAAAUUUUUUGGCACCUUCAUUGAAAAUCAGUCGAGCAUAAAUGUAAGUAACUAUUUCUGUAUUCUCAAUUCCAUUCCAUUGAUCUGUGUGUUUAUACUAAUGCCAGCACUACACUGUCUAGAUUACUGUACUUUUGUAUUGUUUAUCAAUCAGAAAGUUGGAAGCGAGUUUUCCAACUUUUUUCUUUAACUUUGUUCUUUGUUUUGGCUAUUUGUGGUACUUUGGAAUUUCUUAAAAAUUUUAGGAAAAAUUUGUCAAUUUGUAAAGAAUAAAGGCAGCAAGAAUUGUGUUGCAUGUGUAGACCAAUUUGGGAGUGUUGCCAUCUUAACAAUAUUAAGUCUUUUAUUCCAUGACAAUGUGAUGUGAUUCUAUUUAUGUAGGUCUUUAUUUUCUCCCAAUGAUAUUUUGUUGUUUUUAUACAAAAAUUUUACAUCUAUUGGUAAUUUUGCCAGGUGUAGUGGCUCAU
RNAcentral lists this long non-coding RNA (795 nucleotides) under Homo sapiens (human). RNAcentral describes it as "HSALNT0069214". Lineage: Eukaryota; Metazoa; Chordata; Mammalia; Primates; Hominidae. The record is from RNAcentral.